UAAGUAUUGCUAAAAGCUAUAAUAUCUUAUUAGUUUCUAAGUACAAUUUUCAUUCCAGAUUUACUUACAUCGGUCACCCUAGUACAACUCUGACUUCAACACCCAAUGACAAUUCUCGCCGGACUUGCGGGCAACUAUAAAUGGUAACCUACAAAUUUGGGCCCUUUUGCAGAGCAGUUGAGAAGAAGAGCAGUUCUCCUUUGGUAUUCCUAUAUAAUUUAAGUUUAGGAUUAGUUUUAGAUCGUAAUUUCUUCAUCGCUCACUUACUAGUGCAGUUGCACAAAGAUAAUAUAAAUUUGAACAACG
Molecule: long non-coding RNA, 306 nt
Organism: Culex quinquefasciatus (southern house mosquito)
Lineage: Eukaryota; Metazoa; Arthropoda; Insecta; Diptera; Culicidae
Exons: 2
Source: RefSeq, a predicted model, not a curated record